RNAcentral lists this ribosomal RNA (426 nucleotides) under uncultured bacterium. Its description in RNAcentral is "bacterial SSU rRNA". It matches the Rfam family "Bacterial small subunit ribosomal RNA", at positions 354 to 796 of the family's 1533-position model. The record is from RNAcentral.
GUGAGGAAUCUUCCGCAAUGGGCGAAAGCCUGACGGAGCAAUGCCGCGUGAAGGAUGAAGGCCUAUGGGUUGUAAACUUCUUUUCUCAGAAAAGAAUUAUGACGGUAUCUGAGGAAUAAGCAUCGGCUAACUCUGUGCCAGCAGCCGCGGUAAGACAGAGGAUGCAAGCGUUAUCCGGAAUGAUUGGGCGUAAAGCGUCUGUAGGUUGUUUAAAAAGUAUUCUGUCAAAGAUUAGGGCUUAACCCUAGAUAGGCAGAAUAAACUUUUAAGCUAGAGUUUGGUAGAGGCAGAGGGAAUUCCCGGUGGAGCGGUGAAAUGCGUAGAUAUCGGGAGGAACACCAAAGGCGAAGGCACUCUGCUGGGCCAAUACUAACACUGAGAGACGAAAGCGAGGGGAGCAAAUGGGAUUAGAAACCCCUGUAGUCC